GACGAACGCUGGCGGCGUGCUUAACACAUGCAAGUCGAACGGUGAAGCGCCUUCCUUUUUGGUGGGUGUGGAUGAGUGGCGAACGGGUGAGUAACACGUGAGUAACCUGCCCCCUUCUUCUGGAUAACCGCAUGAAAGUGUGGCUAAUACGGGAUAUUCUGGGUCUGUCGCAUGAUGGGUCUGGGAAAGAUAUUGUUUCGGUGGGGGAUGGGCUCGCGGCCUAUCAGCUUGUUGGUGGGGUGAUGGCCUACCAAGGCGGUGACGGGUAGCCGGCCUGAGGGGGUGGACGGUCACACUGGGACUGAGACACGGCCCAGACUCCUACGGGAGGCAGCAGUGGGGAAUAUUGCACAAUGGGCGCAAGCCUGAUGCAGCGACGCCGCGUGAGGGAUGGAGGCCUUCGGGUUGUGAACCUCUUUCGCCAGUGAAGCAGGCCUGCCUCGUUUGUGGGUGGGUUGACGGUAGCUGGAGAAGAAGCGCCGGCUAACUACGUG
Molecule: ribosomal RNA, 494 nt
Filed under: uncultured bacterium
Lineage: Bacteria
Description: partial 16S ribosomal RNA
Rfam family: Bacterial small subunit ribosomal RNA
Source: RNAcentral